Molecule: ribosomal RNA, 2645 nt
Filed under: Campylobacter jejuni
Lineage: Bacteria; Pseudomonadati; Campylobacterota; Epsilonproteobacteria; Campylobacterales; Campylobacteraceae
Description: partial 23S ribosomal RNA
Rfam family: Bacterial large subunit ribosomal RNA
Source: RNAcentral
CCGGGUCGACCACGAUCCAACCCUAAAUACUAAUACCAGAUCGAUAGUGCACAAGUACCGUGAGGGAAAGGUGAAAAGAACUGAGGUGAUCAGAGUGAAAUAGAACCUGAAACCAUUUGCUUACAAUCAUUCAGAGCCCUAUGUAGCAAUACAGGGUGAUGGACUGCCUUUUGCAUAAUGAGCCUGCGAGUUGUGGUGUCUGGCAAGGUUAAGCAAACGCGAAGCCGUAGCGAAAGCGAGUCUGAAUAGGGCGCUUAGUCAGAUGCUGCAGACCCGAAACGAAGUGAUCUAUCCAUGAGCAAGUUGAAGCUAGUGUAAGAACUAGUGGAGGACUGAACCCAUAGGCGUUGAAAAGCCCCGGGAUGACUUGUGGAUAGGGGUGAAAGGCCAAUCAAACUUCGUGAUAGCUGGUUCUCUCCGAAAUAUAUUUAGGUAUAGCGUUGUGUCGUAAUAUAAGGGGGUAGAGCACUGAAUGGGCUAGGGCAUACACCAAUGUACCAAACCCUAUCAAACUCCGAAUACCUUAUAUGUAAUCACAGCAGUCAGGCGGCGAGUGAUAAAAUCCGUCGUCAAGAGGGAAACAACCCAGACUACCAGCUAAGGUCCCUAAAUCUUACUUAAGUGGAAAACGAUGUGAAGUUACUUAAACAACCAGGAGGUUGGCUUAGAAGCAGCCAUCCUUUAAAGAAAGCGUAAUAGCUCACUGGUCUAGUGAUUUUGCGCGGAAAAUAUAACGGGGCUAAAGUAAGUACCGAAGCUGUAGACUUGCACACAACUUAGAUUAUUUAAGUUUAGAAUAUGAGAAACUAAGUUAUAUGUUUAGUUAUAUUUUUACUGAUUUUUAUAGAGUAAAGAUAGAAAUAAAACUUAGUAAAAUCAGUAAAAAUAUUCUUAGACUAAAGUUAAGUAGUUUAAGUUGUGUGCAAGUGGUAGGAGAGCGUUCUAUUUGCGUCGAAGGUAUACCGGUAAGGAGUGCUGGAGCGAAUAGAAGUGAGCAUGCAGGCAUGAGUAGCGAUAAUUAAUGUGAGAAUCAUUAACGCCGUAAACCCAAGGUUUCCUACGCGAUGCUCGUCAUCGUAGGGUUAGUCGGGUCCUAAGUCGAGUCCGAAAGGGGUAGACGAUGGCAAAUUGGUUAAUAUUCCAAUACCAACAUUAGUGUGCGAUGGAAGGACGCUUAGGGCUAAGGGGGCUAGCGGAUGGAAGUGCUAGUCUAAGGUCGUAGGAGGUUAUACAGGCAAAUCCGUAUAACAAUACUCCGAGAACUGAAAGGCUUUUUGAAGUCUUCGGAUGGAUAGAAGAACCCCUGAUGCCGUCGAGCCAAGAAAAGUUUCUAAGUUUAGCUAAUGUUGCCCGUACCGUAAACCGACACAGGUGGGUGGGAUGAGUAUUCUAAGGCGCGUGGAAGAACUCUCUUUAAGGAACUCUGCAAAAUAGCACCGUAUCUUCGGUAUAAGGUGUGGUUAGCUUUGUAUUAGGAUUUACUCCGAAAGCAAGGAAACUUACAACAAAGAGUCCCUCCCGACUGUUUACCAAAAACACAGCACUCUGCUAACUCGUAAGAGGAUGUAUAGGGUGUGACGCCUGCCCGGUGCUCGAAGGUUAAUUGAUGGGGUUAGCAUUAGCGAAGCUCUUGAUCGAAGCCCGAGUAAACGGCGGCCGUAACUAUAACGGUCCUAAGGUAGCGAAAUUCCUUGUCGGUUAAAUACCGACCUGCAUGAAUGGCGUAACGAGAUGGGAGCUGUCUCAAAGAGGGAUCCAGUGAAAUUGUAGUGGAGGUGAAAAUUCCUCCUACCCGCGGCAAGACGGAAAGACCCCGUGGACCUUUACUACAGCUUGACACUGCUACUUGGAUAAGAAUGUGCAGGAUAGGUGGGAGGCUUUGAGUAUAUGACGCCAGUUGUAUAUGAGCCAUUGUUGAGAUACCACUCUUUCUUAUUUGGGUAGCUAACCAGCUUGAGUUAUCCUCAAGUGGGACAAUGUCUGGUGGGUAGUUUGACUGGGGCGGUCGCCUCCCAAAUAAUAACGGAGGCUUACAAAGGUUGGCUCAGAACGGUUGGAAAUCGUUCGUAGAGUAUAAAGGUAUAAGCCAGCUUAACUGCAAGACAUACAAGUCAAGCAGAGACGAAAGUCGGUCUUAGUGAUCCGGUGGUUCUGUGUGGAAGGGCCAUCGCUCAAAGGAUAAAAGGUACCCCGGGGAUAACAGGCUGAUCUCCCCCAAGAGCUCACAUCGACGGGGAGGUUUGGCACCUCGAUGUCGGCUCAUCGCAUCCUGGGGCUGGAGCAGGUCCCAAGGGUAUGGCUGUUCGCCAUUUAAAGCGGUACGCGAGCUGGGUUCAGAACGUCGUGAGACAGUUCGGUCCCUAUCUGCCGUGGGCGUAAGAAGAUUGAAGAGAUUUGACCCUAGUACGAGAGGACCGGGUUGAACAAACCACUGGUGUAGCUGUUGUUCUGCCAAGAGCAUCGCAGCGUAGCUAAGUUUGGAAAGGAUAAACGCUGAAAGCAUCUAAGCGUGAAGCCAACUCUAAGAUGAAUCUUCUCUAAGCUCUCUAGAAGACUACUAGUUUGAUAGGCUGGGUGUGUAAUGGAUGAAAGUCCUUUAGCUGACCAGUACUAAUAGAGCGUUUGGCUUAUCUUUAAUAAAGCAU